AUGCAUUGCUCAGUGUGCAGUGGCAGCAAGCAGAAGCCUCCUUGGUAGUAUGUGCAGCUUGCUGCUCCUAUGGGUUGUCCUAGGUACCUUGGAGACAGAU
Molecule: small nucleolar RNA, 100 nt
Filed under: Nannospalax galili (Upper Galilee mountains blind mole rat)
Lineage: Eukaryota; Metazoa; Chordata; Mammalia; Rodentia; Spalacidae
Description: Small nucleolar RNA SNORA70 (ENSNGAG00000002548.1)
Rfam family: Small nucleolar RNA SNORA70
About the family: snoRNA U70 seems to be exclusive to mammals and is a member of the H/ACA class of snoRNA which contain H (ANANNA) and ACA box motifs.
Source: RNAcentral